This 13505-nucleotide long non-coding RNA is filed under the name Gossypium barbadense (sea-island cotton). Its description in RNAcentral is "long non-coding RNA (GBAR_LNC003912)". The record is from RNAcentral. Lineage: Eukaryota; Viridiplantae; Streptophyta; Magnoliopsida; Malvales; Malvaceae.
AUAUUAUAUUAUAUUAUAUUAUUAUUAUAUAUAUGACAAAGAAAGAAAGAAAAGAAACAGAGAGCAAAACAAAACAGAGAAGGGAGAAAGAAAGAAACAGAGAGCAAAACGAAACAGAGAAGGAAGGAAGGAAAGAAAGAAAGAAAAGAAAAGAAAAAGGGAAAUUUGGGGUUUUAAGGUUCAAAGUAAUUUGAUCAAGAAGUACGAAACUCGAGGUUAGACAAAGGGAAGAAUAAAGUUGAAGACUAAGUUGGUGAAUUUGGCUAUAAUUUGUACCGAGGUAAGUUUACGGUAAAUAAAUGCAAUAUUUCAAUAUUUAUUAUUAAUGCUGUUAAUUUCCAGCAAUUAUGAAUUUAUUUGAUGAUGAUCCAAGCAUGAAAUGAUAGAGAAUAAAAAUUUAAAAGUCCCGUUGAUACAUAAGGAUGGUACUGGAUACGAAUGUCAUGACAUUUGGGUAAAGAGAUCCCAUGUAAGACCAUGUCUGGGACAUGGCAUUGGCAUCCUUAAGAUCAUGAGAGGUCCCCUGUAAGACCAUGUCUGGGACAUGGCAUGGGCACCGAGACGAGAGGUCCCAUGUAAGACCAUGUCUGGGACAUGGCGUUGGCACCGAGAUGAGAGGUCCCCUAUAAGACCAUGUCUGGGACAUGGCAUGGGCACCAUCACGAGAACAUCCCAUGUAAGACCAUGUCUGGGACAUGGCUUUGGCAUGUUAUUAUCAGAAGAGACCCGAGUAUCCUUAUUAUUCCAAUGUAGUUCAACGGGCUUGUAAACGAAUCAUGUUCAUGAAAGUUCAGUUUAAAGCAUAAAUGGCAAGCUCAGGUAAGUUGUAAGACUUAAGAACUUAUUAUACUAUCAAUUGAUGUUCAACGAUGCAGCAAGGAUUGAGUAAGUUAUGCACACAAAUAUUCUAAGUAAACAAGUAAGAGAACUAGUAUGAGAUUAACUAAAGAGUAAACUAGAGAUAUAGACAUUGAGUUUAAUUAUUUAAGUUAAAUAUUGUUAUUUAUUUGCUAGUAAACUUACUAAGCUUUAUGCUUACUUCUUUUAUUUCUCUUUCUCUUAUAGUAUUGCAAAGCUACUUCAAGGAUCCUAAAGAAGUCGGAGAUCGUCCACACUAUCAACUACAACUGCUCGGUAUUUUAUAUCGAAACACGUUUAAGUUAUGGCAUGUAUAGGGAUUUAGUUAUUUUGUAUGUUUGUAGUGAUGAUUUUGCUAAUGAGUGAUGUGUAAGUAUUUGAUGAUGUAUGAUUAUUAAAAUGAUUAAGGAUGAAGGUGUUUGUUGUUAUGAAAGAUUAGGUGAUAAAUUAUGCAUGGAAAUCAUGAAAGGAUAAAAUUUUGCAAAGAAACAGAAUUCAGGCAGCACAGUGACGUGAAUUUGAAAAAUCACCCAAGAUAGUAUAAAAUGAAUUAGAGGGUGAAUGAUAUAUGGAAUUAAAGCUUGUUGAGUCUAUUUUCAUGGAAAAAAACGGUGUAGAAAAAAAGAAAUUUAUAUUUUAAGAUAUGUGAAUUUUAGUAAGAUAGGGUCAGAACUGUUUUUUUGGAGUCCCCUGUUCUGAGUUUAGAAAAUAAUUACAAAUUGUACAAAAAUGUUUAUGAGUUGAAAUUUACAUGCUUAGAUUCCUUGAUGAGUCUAUUUUCUAUAGAAACAAGUAAUAACUUCAUAUGAAAAUCCUAUAGUGAGAAAACUUAUUUUUAGUGACUAGAGGUCAGGGCAGUCUGGUGGUGACACAGGGGAGACUUUAACUAAUAAACUGUACUAAUUUGCUAAACCAAAAAUUCUAAAAAUUUUAUGGUGAGUAGAUAUAUGAGUCUAGUUUCAGGGAAAAUUUACGGGAUUAAAUUUCGAGUUCUGUAGCUCAAGUUAUAAUUAAUUUAGUAACUGCUGCGCGAUUAGACAGAUUUGCUGCGAAUAAUGAAAUAAAUUUUCAAACCUAGUUUUUAUGCUCCGAAUUGGUAAGAUAAGAUAAGUAAUUGUAACAGCCCAAUUUUCAGUAGUGUCAGAACAGUGAUUUGAGAUCACUAAAUUCGAUGAAGAAGUUAGAAAUAUUUUUGAAUUAGUGAAUUUUGUGAUUUAAAAGAAAUUAUUAGGUAAAUUGGGUCGAAAACGAGGUAUCGAGACCUCGAUAUUAUAAACUGAGCCGUAAAUAUUUUUAUAAAUAUUUACGGAGUGUCAAUAGGAUAAUAUUAAAGUUUCGUUAAGAAAUUUUAAUGUUUCGAUAGUUAAUUAUGAAAAAGGAUUAAAUUGCAAUAGGGAUAAAAGUUUAAUUAUAGAUUAAAGAAAAGUUAAAAGGACCAAAUAGGCAAUUAUGCCUUUUUCUAAAGUUGAGGCGGCAUAAUGAAAGAAAUAUCUGAGAUAUUCUAGUUAAUAUAUAUUAUAUAUAUGUAAGUAAUGAUUAUUAUUAAUAUUUUAUAUUAUAUUAUAUUAUAUAUAUAUAACAAAAGAAAGAAUAGAAAUGAGAAAGAAAGAAACAGAGAGCAAAACGAAACAGAGAAGGGAGAAAGAAGAAAAAGAAAGAGCGACGGUUCAGGGGUUUCAAAACUUCUAAAUUCAAUUGGUAAGUCAAUUUAGUCCAUUUUUCUUAUGGUUUUGAUAUUUUUGGAAUCCUAGAGCAAGAUACUACUUGAUUUAAGUGGAAAUUUUGGAAGUUAGUAGGUUAUUAGAUGUUGUUCAUGUUGAAUUAAUUGAUGAAUUAGAUGUUAAAAUGAUUGAAUUUUAAGUUAAAAGUUAGUAAAAGGUUGAUUUGUAAAAUAAAACAUAAGUUUUGAAUUGAUAGGAAUUAAAUUGAAAGAAUCCCGAAAUUAGGGAUUUAUGGGGAAAUUGAAGAAUUAAACUGAGUUUAUAGUAAGAAUUAAGAGAGAAUAGAGUUAGAAUGCAAAAAUAAAAUUAGUAUUGAUAAGGGAUUAAAUUAGAAUUUGAUGUUGCCAUAGAAGGGAAAAAUGUUCAGAAUGUUAUAAAACAUAAGAAUAAGAGAUGAAGUUUAAUUUCCGAGCCUUGGGGCAAAAAUAUAAUUAUGUAAAAGUUUAGGGGCAAAAUUGUAAUUUUGAAAAAGUUAGAGUCGAGGGCUAUUUUGAUGAAUGUGAUUAUUAAAUAAGUUAAAUUUACUAUUUUAGAUCAAGAAGUACGAAACUCGAGGUUAGACAAAGGGAAGAAUAAAGUUGAAGACUAAGUUGGUGAAUUUGGCUAUAAUUGGUACCGAGGUAAGUUUACGGUAAAUAAAUGCAAUAUUUCAAUAUUUAUUAUUAAUGCUGUUAAUUUCCAGCAAUUAUGAAUUUAUUUGAUGAUGAUCCAAGCAUGAAAUGAUAGAGAAUUAAAAUUUAAAAGUCCCGUUGAUACAUAAGGAUGGUACUGGAUACGAAUGUCAUGACAUUUGGGUAAAGAGAUCCCAUGUAAGACCAUGUCUAGGACAUGGCAUUGGCAUCCUUAAGAUCAUGAGAGGUCCCCUGUAAGACCAUUCUGGGACAUGGCAUGGGCACCGAGACGAGAGGUCCCAUGUAAGACUAUGUCUGGGACAUGGCGUUGGCACCGAGAUGAGAGGUCCCCUAUAAGACCAUGUCUGGGACAUGGCAUGGGCACGAUCACGAGAACAUCCCAUGUAAGACCAUGUCUGGGACAUGGCUUUGGCAUGUUAUUAUCAGAAGAGACCCGAGUAUCCUUAUUAUUCCAAUGUAGUUCAACGGGCUUGUAAACGAAUCAUGUUCAUGAAAGUUCAGUUUAAAGCAUAAAUGGCAAGCUCAGGUAAGUUGUAAGACUUAAGAACUUAUUAUACUAUCAAUUGAUGUUCAACGAUGCAGCAAGGAUUGAGUAAGUUAUGCACACAAAUAUUCUAAGUAAACAAGUAAGAGAACUAGUAUGAGAUUAACUAAAGAGUAAACUAGAGAUAUAGACAUUGAGUUUAAUUAUUUAAGUUAAAUAUUGUUAUUUAUUUGCUAGUAAACUUACUAAGCUUUAUGCUUACUUCUUUUAUUUCUCUUUCUCUUAUAGUAUUGCAAAGCUACUUCAAGGAUCCUAAAGAAGUCGGAGAUCGUCCACACUAUCAACUACAAAUGCUCGGUAUUUUAUAUCGAAACACGUUUAAGUUAUGGCAUGUAUAGGGAUUUAGUUAUUUUGUAUGUUUGUAGUGAUGAUUUUGCUAAUGAGUGAUGUGUAAGUAUUUGAUGAUGUAUGAUUAUUAAAAUGAUUAAGGAUGAAGGUGUUUGUUGUUAUGAAAGAUUAGGUGAUAAAUUAUGCAUGGAAAUCAUGAAAGGAUAAAAUUUUGCAAAGAAACAGAAUUCAGGCAGCACAGUGACGUGAAUUUAAAAAAUCACCCAAGAUAGUAUAAAAUGAAUUAGAGGGUGAAUGAUAUAUGGAAUUAAAUCUUGUUGAGUCUAUUUUCAUGGAAAAAUAACGGUGUAGAAAAAAGAAAUUUAUAUUUUAAGAUAUGUGAAUUUUAGUAAGAUAGGGUCAGAACUGUUUUUUUGGAGUCCCCUGUUCUGAGUUUAGAAAAUAAUUACAAAUUGUACAAAAAUGGUUAUGAGUUUAAAUUUACAUGCUUAGAUUCCUUAAUGAGUCUAUUUUCUAUAGAAACAAGUAAGAACUUCAUAUGAAAAUCCUAUAGUGAGAAAACUUAUUUUUAGUGACUAAAGGUCAGGGCAGUCUGGUGGUGACACAGGGGAUACUUUAACUAAUAAACUGUACUAAUUUGCUGAACCAAAAAUUCUAAAAAUUUUAUGGUGAGUAGAUAUAUGAGUCUAGUUUCAGGGAAAAUUUACGGGAUUAAAUUUCGAGUUCUGUAGCUCAAGUUAUAAUUAAUUUAGUAACUGCUGCGCGAUUAGACAGAUUUGCUGCGAAUAAUGAAAUAAAUUUUCAAACCUAGUUUUUAUGCUCUGAAUUGGUAAGAUAAGCUAAGUAAUGCCUCGUGCUCGACUCCGGAAACGGUCUCGGGUAAGGGGUGUUACAUUUUAUUGGUAUCAGAGCAGGUUUAGUCUGUUCUCGGAAAUACUCAGUAAGAAUAAGAGUCUACCUAUACAUGCCAUACUUAUAUAUUUGAUAGUGUGACGACUCCUGGCGAUUUUAAAAUGUUUUCUUUUAUAGUUAUGGAUCCUGAACGAGCUAGUACAGAUGAAGUAGAGAGUAAUGCACCUAUUCCCGCAGAAGGGACGGUGCCAUCAGAUGUUAUAUCAGUCCCAUAUUUCCUAAGUGUUCUGUUUCGUCUACUGGGCUUCUGCUAAAAAAAAAAUGUUACAAGAUAAAAGAUUAUCUUUGAUUCAAUGAUGAAUGAUUAUAAAGGAAAAAUAAGUUACAAAGCUGUGAAUAAAGAAGUAUGUAUUUGUAAUAAAAUAAUUUAAAGUUGUGAAUAAGUAAAUGUUAUUUAGUUCUGUAUGGAGAUUUAAAAUAGUAAUCCUUAUAGAUAAGGAUGAAAAUAUACAUUUAUACACUUAAAAGAGUAACCUUGAUAAAUGAGAAAUGUUUUACUAAUAGACAAAAAUGUCUCCAAUUGAUCUAGUUCCGACAGUGAUGAAAGUGAUAUUUGAGUAUUUGAUAGAGAAAGGGGAGUUGCCUAUAUGAGUAAAGAUUUAUAAGGUAUGAAAUGAAUGUUUGUAAUGAAUAUAUUGACGAUAAAAGUCAUGUUAUGUGUAUAUAUAUAAGUAUAUAUAUAAGAGUCAAAUUUUGAGGCUUUACGACCUUCACCCCCUCACCUGAACAAUGGAAUUUACAAGAAUUGUAUUCAUUAAGUUUACAAGUGUGAAAUUGAAGAGUUCAAUAAUUGAAGGAAUAAUAAUGUAGUCAGAAUUGUGGAUGGGAUAGCAAGUAAAGAGAGUUCUAGAAAGGAUAUUAGAUUUUUUUUUAAAUGAUUAUUGGGAUUUGCAAUGUCGCUAUUAAGGAAGAAGCUAUUCACGAGUAACCGACUUACUCAGGUAUAAAAUUUAAAGAGCAGGUUAAUCGGAAUUUCUUCUGAAUUGAUUUCUUUAAUGAUUGAGAUAAUGUGAGAUUAUUGAUGACUUUAGUAAUCAGUGGGAUUGUGUUGAAAAUUGCAAACAUAUCUGAAUGCAGUUGUUAUAGUCGAGUAUUUUACAAUGAUCUCUUCUGGGUAUUCUAUAUGGGUAUUCUAUAUGCUCUUUUAUCCUCAGAGGUAUAUGCAAUUAUUUAUUUUCAGAUAUGAUUCUUAUCAUAUAGCAAGGUUGGCUAAUCGUAUUGUUAGACGAAAUUAUUAUUAGUCUGGUUGAUUCAUGAUCGGGAUUCCUCUAUCUUUCUUUGGUUUUCUAAUCUAUUAUGUUCGAUGGAAGAUUUGAUGAUAAGACUCAUAUGAAGCUAUUUUCUAUUUCUACUGGUUGAAGCUCCGAAUUAUAUAUAUGGAAUUUAUAUUGUCUUUAUCACAACUAUUCCUAGUACGUACAAGUGAUAUUCUUCUUUUGGAUUUUCUCUGGGAUAUCAUCGAUCUCUUUAUCAUUCAAUGUGGUUUUUCUUCUCGGAAAUUUAGUAUAGCUUCACAUCUUGGAUUUUAUUAUCUCGGUUUUCUUAUUAUGGUCUAAUCUUAUCUAUUAACCAUGGUUUAUCCGUACAAGAUAUUCAUUGGCCGGAGGUAAUUAUAUUUAUUACUGUUAUAAAUCUUGGUUUGAUCAUGGGAACUCGGUGAUAUGGAUCUCAGAUUUUAGAAGUUGUAUUACUGCACUGGUUGUUAUUGGGACUACUUCGGUUUUCUUCAUCUAUUUUGGAGUGCACUAUUGAUGUUGAGGUAUUGUUCUAUCUAUAUAGUUGGAACGUCGGUCCUAGUAUAGCUCUAUAGUUUUUAAUCUAUUUGAUGGUUGUGGCUUCGGUAUAGUUCAAAGCUUCGAUGUUAAUGAUUGAAAUAGUUUUAUUAUAUAUAUAAUUCCUUUCUAGUUUUCGUGAAAGGGUUGACAUCGGCAAAAGUAUAGAUGGAGGAAGAUUGAGCUCAAACUUGUAUUUUGGUUUUCAUUUCUCAGGUAAUUCUGAAAUUAUGUCAACAAGUCAAUAAUGGAAUGUCAAAAUUCGUUUGAGUUAAAUGCUAUUUGUGGAAAUUUUCGAUUGGUGUUCUGAGAGGAUUAUGAUAUAUGGUAUAUCUGGAUUGUUUUGACAACAAGAAGAAUGGAUUAUUCUGAAAUGUUAUUAUCUGAUAGAUAAAAUCGACUCAGUUGUUUUAAUCAGAGUGGGUUAUUCAUUGAAAAGUUAAUUGAGUUAUAAUCAGUGAUGGAAUCAGUACAUCUUGGGUCUCCACAAUGGGUUUAAAUUAUCUGUUUUCUUAUCGCUGGAUGGGUUUCCAAGAUCUUCGUUCAAAGGUAUUAAAUAAGAUAAUUCGGGUUUCUCAGUUAUGUUUCGACAGACAAUUACUGGACAUUUCUUGGUAGUCAUACUACUAGUGAAAAAGUGAUGGCAAGAGAACAUCAGAGCUGCUCAGUUAAGUUCAGGCAUAGUAUCAAUUUCUAAAAUGAGUUUUGAUAUGAGUUUGGAAGUGAUAUGAGUUAUGAUUAAUUUUUAUGGACUUCGAUUGAAAGGGGUGAAGAAAGAUUUGACUUAAUAGCUUGUAUCAGGUGAGAAAUUUCGAGGACGAAAUUUUUUUAAGGGGGGAAGAGUAUAAAAUGUAACACCCCUUACCCGAGACCGUUUCCGGAGUCGAGCACGAGGCAUUACUUAGCUUAUCUUACCAAUUCGGAGCAUAAAAACUAGGUUUGAAAAUUUAUUUCAUUAUUCGCAGCAAAUCUGUCCAAUCGCGCAGCAGUUACUAAAUUAAUUAUAACUUGAGAUACAGAACUCGAAAUUUAAUUCCGUAAAUUUUUCCUGAAACUAGACUCAUAUAUCUACUCACCAUAAAAUUUUUAGAAUUUUUGGUUCAGCAAAUUAGUACAGUUUAUUAGUUAAAGUCUCCCCUGUUUCACCACCUGACUUCCCUGACCUCUAGUCACUAAAAAUAAGUUUUCUCACUGUAGGAUUUUCAUAUGAAGUUCUUACUUGAUUCUACAGAAAAUAGACUCAUUAAGAAAUCUAAGCAUGUAAAUUUCAACUCAUAACCAUUUUUGUACAAUUUGUAAUUAUUUUCUAAACUCAUAACAGGGGACUCCAAAAACAGUUCUGACCCUAUCUUACUAAAAUUCACAUAUCUUAAAAUAUAAAUUUCCUUUUUCUACACUGCUAUUUUUCCAUGAAAAUAGACUCAACAAGCUUUAAUUCCAUAUAUCAUUCACCCUCUAAUUCAUUUUAUACUAUCUUGGGUGAUUUUUCAAAUUCACGUCACUGUGCUGCCUGAAUUCUGUUUCUUUGCAAAAUUUUAUCCUUUCAUGAUUUCCAUGCAUAAUUUAUCACCUAAUCUUUCAUAACAACAAACACCUUCAUCCUUAAUCAUUUUAAUAACCAUACAUCAUCAAAUACUUACACAUCACUCAUUAGCAAAAUCAUCAUUACAAACAUAAAAAAUAACUAAAUCCCUAUACAUGCCAUAACUCAAACGUGUUUCGAUAUAAAAUACCGAGCAGUUGUAGUUGAUAGUGUGGACGAUCUCCGACUUCUUUAGGAUCCUUGAAGUAGCUUUGCAAUACUAUAAGAGAAAGAGAAAUAAAAGAAGUAAGCAUAAAGCUUAGUAAGUUUACUAGCAAAUAAAUAACAAUAUUUAACUUAAAUAAUUAAACUCAAUGUCUAUAUCUCUAGUUUACUCUUUAGUUAAUCUCAUACUAGUUCUCUUACUUGUUUACUUAGAAUACUUGUGUGCAUAACUUACUCAAUCCUUGCUGCAUCGUUGAACAUCAAUUGAUAGUAUAAUAAGUUCUUAAGUCUUACAACUUACCUGAGCUUGCCAUUUAUGCUUUAAACUGAAUUUUCAUGAACAUGAUUCGUUUACAAGCCCGUUGAGCUACAUUGGAAUAAUAAGGAUACUCGGGUCUCUUCUGAUAAUAACAUGCCAAAGCCAUGUCCCAGACAUGGUCUUACAUGGGAUGUUCUCGUGAUGGUGCCCAUGCCAUGUCCCAGACAUGGUCUUAUAGGGGACCUCUCAUCUCGGUGCCAACGCCAUGUCCCAGACAUGGUCUUACAUGGGACCUCUCGUCUCGGUGCCCAUGCCAUGUCCCAGACAUGGUCUUACAGGGGACCUCUCAUGAUCUUAAGGAUGCCAAUGCCAUGUCCCAGACAUGGUCUUACAUGGGAUCUCUUUACCCAAAUGUCAUGACAUUCGUAUCUAGUACCAUCCUUAUGUAUCAAUGGGACUUUUAAAUUUUAAUUCUCUAUCAUUUCAUGCUUGGAUCAUCAUCAAAUAAAUUCAUAAAAUAAAUUCAUAAUUGCUGGAAAUUAACAGCAUUAAUAAUAAUUAUUAAAAUAUUGCAUUUAUUUACCGUAAACUUACCUCGGUACCAAUUAUAGCCAAAUUCACCAACUUAGUCUUCAACUUUAUUCUUCCCUUUGUCUAACCUCGAGUUUCGUACUUCUUGAUCUAAAAUAGUAAAUUUAACUUAUUUAAUAAUCACAUUCAUCAAAACAGCCCUCGACUCUAACUUUUUCAAAAUUACAAUUUUGCCCCUAAACUUUUACAUAAUUACAUUUUUGCCCCAAGGCUCGGAAAUUAAACUUCAUCUCUUAUUCUUAUGUUUUAUAACAUUCUGAACAUUUUUCCCUUCUAUGGCAACAUCAAAUUCCCACUCUAACAUGUACUUAUGAACAUUAGGUAUUUUUACCGAUUAUGUCGUUUUACUCGUUUUCACUUAAAAUCGCUUAGCAAAAGUUGUUUAACAUAAUUUCUAGCUUCAUAUUCUAUCAUAAAACAUCAAAAUAAACACUUUUCACCUAUGGGUAUUUUUCCAAAUAUAAACCCUAGGUUAAAUUAUUGCUAGAAUAAGCUAAAUUAAGCUACCGGGAUCUCAAAAACGUAAAGAACAUUAAAAACGGGGCUUGGGAUCACUUACUAUGGAGCUUGGAAGCUUGAAAACCCUAACUAUGGCUUCCCCCCUUGCUGAUUUCGUUCAUAUGAAGAAGAUGAUGAUUUUUGCCAUCUUUUUCCCUUUUAAUUCAUUUUAAUUACUAGAUUACCAAAUUGCCCCUAACUUAAAAAUUUUCUAUUUCACUUAUCUCAUGUCCAUUUUUGUCUACCAAGUUACCAAUGGUAUAAUUAUCAUAUAAAGACCUCCAAUUUAAAGUUUCAUAACAAUUGGACACCUCUAACAUGUAGAACUCAACUUUUGCACUUUUUACAAUUUAGUCCUUUUGACUAAAUUGAGUGCCCAAACGUCGAAAUUUUCGAACGAAAUUUUCAAAAAAUCAUUUUGUGAAAUUGUAGACCAUAAAAAUAUAAAAAAAAUAAAAUUUUUCUCAUCGGAUUUGUGGUCCCGAAACCACUGUUCUGAUAACCUCAAAUUUGGGCCAUUACAAAUAAUCAAUUAAUCACACCUCCACUCACUAAUCCCUCAUAAGAGGAUUAGUUCUUCAUGGAUCUCAUGAACACAAUAAAAUUGAUUAUAAAGAUAAACAUAAAUAACAAUCAAAAGAAAGGUUUAAGAGAUUCCUGAAUUGUAUUGAUUGAAGCGCAAAAUCUACAAUAGUUUGAUCACGUUUACAACUCACGUUCUCUGAAGAACACAAAUAGAAAAGAACUGAAAUAAGCCUAAAGCCUAAAAGAAAGGAAAAACUUAAAACUAAAUUUACAAAGAAAGAUUUAGAAUAUAAAAAUUAUCCCCAAACAAGUGUUUUAAUAGCUUAUUUAUAGAGUUAGGGUUGUCGUCGUCCUCAACCUAGGUCAACUGACGUUCUCAUGUUUAAUUUCCAUUGCGCAGACCAAGAUGCCACUGUAAUAAGUGUUCCCUGUAGAAGGUUGGUGUCAGGACACCCUAGUGCUUGUGUCGCAACAUCGAAACCAAUAUGCAUGCUUCAGGGGUGUGUCGCAACAUCCCUUAGCUGUGUCGCGACACCAAAGGUAGUAUGGUAAUUCUUGCAUUCUGCUCCCUAUGUUGUGACAUUGAACUCCCGUGUUGCAACAUAGCGACCAGCCUUGAGUUCCUAUGCCUUUGAGUGGUCUCCUACACACUUAGUAUGUUAGCUCGCCUUCAAGCUUCAUUCAAACCCCUAAGGUCAAUAAAAGACUCAAAAUACACUUUUAUUGAAUUUAUAUUAAACUAAGAAAAUGUAACUAAAACAUAAUGAAAAUGCUUGGAUUCAAACUCCUUAAGUACGAAAACUAGUUUAAUGUGUUGCACCUUAUUACGAUAGAUCAGUAUAGUUGCCUGGCGUAUUUAGAAGAAUCAUAACCUUUUUAUCUUUCAAGGAAUAACGUGGAGUGUGAGGAGUUGGUAAAAGUUUCAUAUAGUUGGGUCAAACAAUAUACCUUAUACCAUAAAGCAAAUGUUCCUAAAUGGCAAGUGUCAAACUCAGUCCCACCUUUAUUCGAGAAUUGGAUUCAAUUGAACAUUGAUGAUGGCAUAGUAAAAGAGGGUUCCGGGGUUGCCAUGAUUGGGGGUUUUACGAGACAGAUACGAGAGUUGGAUCCUUGGCUAUAAUCGGUUUAUUGGAAUCUAUUCUAUCUUAGAUGCGAAAUUAUGGGACAUUUGGAAUGGUCUGAUGAUUGCAUUAGAUAUAUGAUUUGACAAUUUGAUAAUUUUUUCAAACGGUCAAGAGGCAACACAAGCUCUACAAAGUAAGUCUUCAAAGGGUUCGAAUUCCGCUUUGGUCAGAAGAAUCCGACUGUUAUUGGCUAAAAUGGUGCAUUGGUCGAUUCGUCAUGUUUUUAGAUAACUCAACAAAGAUGCUCAUGAUAGAGCGAAAAUGAUGGUUGGUUAUAACAGUGGCCUUCAAUUUUUUGAAACGCCUCCAAGGGGACUUGAGUAUAUAUCUAAAUAGUUCUUUGUAAUACUUUUUCUUUAAAAAAAAAAGGCUACAUUUGUUUGUGAAUUCUUUCUCCGAAAUCACACACGACUGCUUUAGCAUUACCCUUAAAAUUAUUAUUUUAGUAAUAAAAUUAAUUUUUACUUAAAUAUAAUUAUAAAAAUGUAUAAGCAUUGAUAUGAAUAUUAUUAAUUAUUGUUAGCUUUAACUUAUAAAGCUUUUUAUACAACUAACAUUUAAAAUAAAAUUUUUCUUAAGUAAUUUCAUGAAAAUAUUAUUAAAAAUCUCAUUGUAGAUUUUAAGAUUUUAAAAUAGUAAAAAAAAAACUUUAAUAGAGUCAAUUCAAAAUAAUUUCAAUAUGUUCCAACUUGUAAGCACUUUUCAAGGGUUAAAUAUGGAUACCUUACCUAAAGUGCCAAUAGAGGUCAGUAGACAACCAUUUCUGGAAGUGUAAAGUGUAAAAUAUAUAUUCUUCAGGUAUCAAUGCUGAACACAAAAUAUAUAUACUUGUCUUUACGGUAUCAAUAUUUUUUUGCUUCUAACGGUUAUUCAUUGGCACUCCAAAAAGCAUGAAAUUAAUACUCAAUCAUCACAAAAAAAAAAAGUUUAUUUCUUACCUUCUUUCUCUUGUGCAUAUUUUUGUGAAAGAUUUAUGUAAGCUUUAUUCAUCUUACUGAAAGCUAAACACCUACCAGUUUUUUGUUUAUACAAAUUUACCAUUUUGUAAGUUUGGUUCAAUCUUUACCAUUGCAAAAAAAAAAAUAAAGAUAAUGGUUUUUAUGUUAUAGUGAACUCAAAACUUGUUAAGAAUUGAGGUGAAGGUAAUGGAGAUCGAUGGUUAAAUCAUUAUAAAUUAUUUGUGUUAAUUUUUUUAAUUUGAAAUAAAUAAAAUUUUUAAUUAUCUAUUCAUAUUCUUUCGUUUUUCUUUUCCGAAAAAGGGAAUAAACUUUUAUUUAACAAUUACUUUAAGGUUGAAUACAUAACUAUCCCUUAGCAUCAUUUAAAAGUAGAUUUCAACAACAAGAUGGAUUAGAGCAAACAAGUGAUUUAAACAAUCAAGUGAUUUUUUUUCAAUUGUAUAAGUUGAGAAAUUUGAAUCGGUUGUUACCUACUGUCGGUAGGAAUAAUGUGGUAUAACGAGUGCCAAGGAAAGCAUGAACCAUGAGACAUAAGUUGGGUCUGGAAACAUACCGAUUGAAACCAGACGAAAUACAGUGUUCAAGAUGUUAGAAAACGAAACAAAUAUCAUUUCACAAACGUUGUCGGGACUGGUCAUUGACACUGUCUUUAGAUGGUGAUCUCACUUCUCUAUAGUCUUCAAGAUCUAGUGGGGGUCCACCCAACACUCUCACAUGCAAUUUUUUAUACCUUCAUCCCCCCGUUCUCUCCUGUCUUCAUUUUCAAUUUCUUUGGUCAAAUAAUAAAUUAAACCCCUCAAAAAAAAAAUCGUCCCAUUUUUUGAGUUAUAAUAUAUUUACAAAGCUAAAUUAUUGUAUGCAAAGUUUAAAAAAACAAAAUGCAAACACAAACCAUGACUGACACAGUGACAUCAGGCAUACAUGGACCCAAGGCCUUUAAAAAAAACAGAAGCAGGCUUUGAAUCAUCAUAACAAUGACUAUAUUAUCGUGUUGAAGUGACCAAUAUAUAUACAUAUGCAGGCGAUAGCAGCCCAGGGACGACGUCGAUAAAUAUGUAAAAAGAGAAAAGAAAAG